Molecule: ribosomal RNA, 229 nt
Filed under: uncultured bacterium
Lineage: Bacteria
Description: partial 16S ribosomal RNA
Rfam family: Bacterial small subunit ribosomal RNA
Source: RNAcentral
UGCGCAGGUGGGCUUGUAAGUCAGUGGUGAAAUACUGCCGCUUAACGGUAGAACUGCCAUUGAUACUGCAAGUCUUGAGUAUGGUUGAGGUAGGCGGAAUGUGUUGUGUAGCGGUGAAAUGCAUAGAUAUGACACAGAACUCCAAUUGCGAAGGCAGCUUACUAAGCCAUUACUGCCGCUGAGGCACGAAAGCGUGGGGAGCGAACAGGAUUAGAUACCCUGGUAGUCC